RNAcentral lists this long non-coding RNA (507 nucleotides) under Populus trichocarpa (black cottonwood). Its description in RNAcentral is "long non-coding RNA (PTRI_LNC003544)". Lineage: Eukaryota; Viridiplantae; Streptophyta; Magnoliopsida; Malpighiales; Salicaceae. The record is from RNAcentral.
AUAUAGUAGAAUCAUUGAUUAUUCAAUCAAGAAACUCCACAUAUAUAUUGUCUCUACAGUGAAGAGUUCUCCAGUCUCCAAAACUCAAUGGAGCUCGUAUCGUCUCGUGGACCUCGUAAGUUAUGACCUAUCUGACUCUGCAAUGAAUUGUAUAACUCUGCUGUGGAUGGGCAGUGGCUGUUUAAAAUUUAAAUGGCCUGCAUGAGAUGCCGGUUCUUACAUUCAUCAUUGCACAGACUGAUAGCCAGCAAAGAAAUUCCAAGAUUUUAGAAGAUAUGCCCAAAAUGCAUUUAAAAGAAAAUGGAGGCAUGGAGCAAGAGGGUCACCGUGAAAAUCCAAGAAGAAGCUUCUCCUUUUAAACCAGAAAGAUCUGAAAUUGCUCAAGCUGACUUUGUUUGGGAUUCCAGAGAUGAAGUAGGAGGAGGAGGGUUGUUGAGAGAAGAAGAAGACUUGAAGGCCUCAAUCUGUGAGUGACACUCGAGUCAACCCCCUUUACUUUGUUCAACG